GGCCGAGUGGUGAAAUUGGUAUACACGUACGUUUGAGGGGCGUAUGGCGCAAGCUGUGCGGGUUCAAGUCCCGCCUCGGUCA
This 82-nucleotide transfer RNA is filed under the name Flavobacteriales bacterium. Its description in RNAcentral is "tRNA-Leu". It matches the Rfam family "tRNA". Rfam says of the family: Transfer RNA (tRNA) molecules are approximately 80 nucleotides in length. RNAcentral also lists the same sequence under 1 other name. The record is from RNAcentral. Lineage: Bacteria; Pseudomonadati; Bacteroidota; Flavobacteriia; Flavobacteriales.